AUGGAGGCGACGGCGCUAAGUGUUGGCAAGUCCGUCCUCAGCGGGGCGCUCAGCUAUGCCAAAUCUGCCGUGGCUGAGGAGGUGGCUCUGCAGCUUGGAGUACAGAGCGACCACAUAUUCAUCACCGACGAGCUCGAGAUGAUGCGGUCAUUCCUCAUGGCUGCGCAUGACGAGGGAGAUGACAAUAUGGUGGUCAGGACUUGGGUGAAACAGGUCCGUGACGUCUCCUACACUGUGGAAGAUUAUCUCCUUGAUUUUUCUGUUCGUCUUGAGAAGCAGUCUUGGUGGCGCAUCCCUUGCACGCUGCUAGACCAGCACCGUGUGGCAAAGCAGAUGAAGGAGCUCAGAAUCAAGGUGGAGGAUGUCAGCCAGAGGAACCAACGGUACCACCUCAUCAAGGGCUCUAGCUCCAAGCCUACCUCUGCUGUUGGGAAGCCUACCAUCUCAAGUGUGACAAUGUCUGCCGCCGAUGAUGCAAGGCUACUGCGGCAAAAAGCAAAAAUGGAUCUCAUCAAGUUGAUCAAUUGCAAGGAUGAUGCACUUCGAGUGAUAGCAUUGUGGGGCACAAGUAGCAGUGAUCUGGGGGAGAUUUCCAUCAUCAAGUGUGCCUAUGAAGAUCUCAUCAUACACAAGAAUUUUAAUUGCUGUGCUUGGAUCACAUUGAUGUGCCCUUUCAAUCAGUCAGAUUUCAUUCGAAGCAUUAUUAGGCAAAUUUAUGUUAAUUCUCUUCAAGAAACAGGAAAAGAAGGAAAAUCAGCUAUUGGGGCCCAAGUUUUGAGGAUGAUGCCAACGAUGAAAGAAGAUGGUUUGGCUCAUGAGUUCAAGAGAUAUUUAAAUUUCAAGAGUUACCUAAUUGUACUCAAUGGCAUACGCACCAUUGAGGAGAGCAGAGCAGAGGAUGAAGCUCUAGUGUGCAAGAAGUUACUUGCUGAUCCGUCUCUUUAUGUUUUCUACAGUAAGGUUUCUCAUGAGAGAUGGAGUUCCGUGGAAAUAGUCUCUACUGGCGUUGACAGCUCUACAGACAAGAACAUCCUCAGCCGCACGGAAACAAUGGCUACUCUAGAGGAAUCUCGUCUCAUUGGGAGAGGGAAUGAAAAAGAGGAAAUCAUCAAACUAAUCUCAAAUAAAUAUCUCCCGCAAUUUCAUGUGAUAUCCUUGUGGGGAAAGGGUGGUAUCGGAAAAACAACACUAGUGAGAGAUAUUUAUCAAAGCCAAGAGAUUAGCAGCAUGUUUGAUAAGCAUGCUUGUUUCACAAUCAUGCGCCCUUUCAACUCAGCACCACUCCUUGAGAGCUUAAUUAUGCAAAUCAAAGAUAAGAAUGAAGAUAAAAAUGAGAAAGAUUUAAGGAGAUGUUUAGAAGGAAAGAGAUAUUUACUUGUUCUUGAUGAUUUCUGGUCCAGAGUAGAGUGGGAUGCUAUAAAAGAGUAUUUGCCAGAAACUGCUGGAAGCUGCAUAAUAGUCACCAUAAGGGAAGAGAAUAUUGCCAAGCACUGCUCAAAGAAUGAACGAGACAUAUACAUGCUCAAACAUCUGGGUCCUGAUGACGCAUUUGCCCUCUUCACCAAAAAGGUAUUUAAGGAGGCCGUAAGUUUGGAUGAGCGAUAUCCAGAGUUGGUUGAACCAACAAAACUAAUAUUGAAGAAGUGGAGAGGGCUUCCCCUUGCACUAGUCACCAUAGGUGGCUUCUUGGCAAACCAACCAAAAACUGCUUUUGAAUGGAGAAAAUUGAAUGAUCAUAUCAGUGCUGAGUUGGAGAUGAAUCCAGAACUUGAGACCAUAAAACCAAUCCUUAUGAAAAGCUAUGAUGGUUUACCCUAUUACCUCAAGGCUUGUUUCUUGUAUCUAGCCAUCUUUCCUGAAGACCAGCAGAUUGCACGGAGACGCUUAGUGCGUCGUUGGAUUGCAGAGGGUUACUCAAGUGAGAUGUGUGGCAAGUCUGUAGAGGAAGUAUUGGACUCUUACUUCAUGGAACUCAUAAGCAGGAGCAUGAUCCUGCCAUCUCAACAGUCAAUUCAUAGUAGGAAAGGAAUUGACUCCUGUCAUGUCCAUGAUCUCAUUCGUGAAAUUGCCACCUCAAAGUCUAAGGAGGAAAAUCUUGUUUUCACAUUGGAGGAAGGGUGCAGCUUAAAUAACCAAGGCACAGUACGUCAUCUUGCUAGCCUCAAGUGGAUCCAGGGCCUCAAAAAUCUCGUGAAGCUGAAACUAGAGGGGUCGAGGAUAUCGGAGCAUGAUGCGGCCAUACAAGUCCUUGGGAAUCUACCAAACCUGGCCACCCUACGUCUAUUGGAUUACUCGUUUGAUGGUGAAGAGGUUUGUUUCAGUUUUCGUCGGGAGGCAUUCCCGAGCCUGAAUGUGCUGGAGCUGUAUUGCAUAGGAAACCUCAAGUCGGUGGGAUUUGAAGGAGCAGCCCCUAAGCUUGAGUUGCUGCAGUAUUUAGAUUGGGGCAACAUUGUUGGGUUGUUCUGUGGGUUAGCAUAUCUCCCAAGCCUCAAGGAAUUUAUGCUGCAUGAGUCGAACUGGCAGGCCACCGAGUUGGUGGAGCACUUGCGAGGCCAGCUCGAAGAGAAUAUAAACAAGCCCGUUUUGAGGAGGUGGGGGGACUAG
This 2604-nucleotide ribosomal RNA is filed under the name Triticum aestivum (bread wheat). RNAcentral describes it as "partial small subunit ribosomal RNA". Lineage: Eukaryota; Viridiplantae; Streptophyta; Magnoliopsida; Poales; Poaceae. The record is from RNAcentral.